Molecule: non-coding RNA, 1767 nt
Organism: Dermacentor andersoni
Lineage: Eukaryota; Metazoa; Arthropoda; Arachnida; Ixodida; Ixodidae
Source: RefSeq, a predicted model, not a curated record
CCUAUCAAGAAAAAUGCGGCUGUGGCUGCGGCUGCGGCUAGCAGCUUGAUAGGCGGCACGACCAUGGCACGACCACUGGGCACGACCCAACAUGUGCGAAGCCUUGUCAGACCGCUCCGCCGGGCUCUUUCUGUAAAAUGCAUCUGAGCAUCGUUGUUGGGUUCUUCUGCCAGCGUCUGCUUCGUCGCCGUUUCAUGGAAUCUCCACUAUUUCCUCAAAGUACACUGCACAGCCAAAGGACAUCACACAUACUCAAGGGCAAACUUCCAAGUAUCAGAAGACUAUUUCAAGGCUUCGAAGACAGCAGGUGAAGACCCCCAACACAAAGUGCUUAAUUGCAGCUCUUUAAUGACGGACACACUGGCUUACACAUUCGAGAUGAAGAUGUUGGUGCGUGCUCAAUUAUUUUUUUGCAGCCAUUUUAUUUCGGCACGCUACCAUUCACAUAAUUUUGCUACCCUAAUUCACCUUCCUUCGCAGAAGUAGAAGAAAUACGUCGUAUUUUUUUUCCUUCGGUGUUCGUUGACGCUGCCUGGGUUAAAAAUAAGGAUGCGUAUACCUCCGUUGUCGUAGACACUCAAGGUAACAUACAGGAUGCCAUCACCGUCUAUACCAAGGACCCAACAGUAGCAGAACAAGAAGCAAUCGCCUUAGCCAUCCGGGCUAAUCGGUGGACACAUAUUUACAGCGACUCUAGAAGAGCCAUACGCAACUUUACCAACGGAUAUGUGACACGGAUAGCAACAAAAUUAUUAGAGAAGAUCAAGAGUGAGAGGAUCGAAAUCCGCUGGUUUCCUGCACAUCUGGGGGUGGUGGACGGAGCUCGGAGAAACCUCAAUGAAGUGGCAAAUGAAGCAGCACGAGGACUUUCUAGCCGUGCUCUUCAAGACCGAGCAACUUACACUUCACCCGGGGAACACAGGGAUCGAUUAUUAACAUAUAACGAAAUCACGAAGCAUUAUUAUUUAAGCAGAAGGGAAUACCCAUUGCCACACGGUAAGCUUUGCAGAGCCCAAGCGGUCACAUUACGUUUGCUACAGACAAGAACAUACCCAAGUCCAUAUUUUAUUAACAGGAUCUAUCCGGAGAGGGAAAUUCAAACCAACUGUAAUAAGUGCAAUGGCAUCAUUACUCUUGACCACAUGCUUUGGCAGUGCCCCGCGGUCUUCACUGACCAUGACAAGGAACAAGAAUGGUGGCGGCAAAUGCUACACAGUGAAUCACUCUCUGACCAAUUACGGGCAGUCCAGAAGGCCCGCGAUGUGGCUGAAGGGCUAGGCCUGACAGUCCCAACGUGGGAGCGGCCCGCGUCAACGUAUGGUUGACCUUCAGGACCCAAUAAAGUUCUCCAUACCAUACCAUAAAACAAUCCCAUUUUAAGCAAAUUAAUUGCUGUCGUGUAUUUGCAGUUUUCUUUUUCAUUAUCUGGAUAGUUGCAACACGUCUUCUAUGUGUUUUGCUUGUGCAAAGUUAUUGCCAUCACGCCAUUCAUUUUCAACUAUUCUCCAUUACACCGGUGUCACACGACCACUUGCGAUCACGAACAAGUCCGAUCCGGAUUGAAAUUCGCGACUGAUAUUGGCGCCAUCGUGCCGCUUGCGCAAAAGAACCAAUCGUGACUGAGAAAUUCAAAUCGGAUUGGGCUUGAUCGCGUUUAUAAGUGUGCCGUGUGACACCCGUAUUACUUGCAUUUCGCUGUUUCUUCCCGUUUUCAUGUAUCUGCCUCUUACAAUCUUGCUGCAAUAAAUUGUCUGCUAUUUUCGUGUU